Molecule: non-coding RNA, 137 nt
Filed under: Gorilla gorilla gorilla (western lowland gorilla)
Lineage: Eukaryota; Metazoa; Chordata; Mammalia; Primates; Hominidae
Source: Rfam by way of RNAcentral
GCUGGGCGUGGUGGCGUGCGCCUGUAGUCCCAGCUACUCAGGAGGCUGAGACAGGAGAAUCACUUGAACCCAGGAGAAGGAGGUUGCAGUGAGCCACUGCAUUCCAGCCUGGGCAACAGAGCGAGACUCUGUCUCAA